GACACCUACGGGUGGCUGCAGUCGAGAAUCUUCCGCAAUGCGCGAAACCUGACGCAGCGACGCCGCGUGAGUGAUGAAGGCCUUCGGGUUGUAAACCUCUGUCCUCAGGGACGAAGGUUUGACCGGUACUAGGACGAAGCACAGGCUAAGUUCGUGCCUAGCAGCCGCGGUAAUACGUAGGUCGCAAGCGUUGUCCGGAAUUAUUGGGCGUAAAGAGCACGUAGGCGGAUUUGUAGGUCAGAUGUGAAAGCCCACGGCUCAACCGUGGAAUUGCGUUUGAAACCACAAGUCUUGAGGAAGUCAGAGGUAUGCGGAACU
This 318-nucleotide ribosomal RNA is filed under the name uncultured Planctomycetota bacterium. Its description in RNAcentral is "bacterial SSU rRNA". It matches the Rfam family "Bacterial small subunit ribosomal RNA", at positions 334 to 668 of the family's 1533-position model. The record is from RNAcentral. Lineage: Bacteria; Pseudomonadati; Planctomycetota.